AGGCAGCCUCUUUGCCAUUGCAGUGGCAUUGGAGGUGUUGCGUUGCUCGGAUAGUAAACCUUUUGCUCUUCAGCUUGGCUGAGAGGGUGGCUCCUGCUUCUGUCAC
This 106-nucleotide small nucleolar RNA is filed under the name Hordeum vulgare. Its description in RNAcentral is "Small nucleolar RNA snoR77". It matches the Rfam family "Small nucleolar RNA snoR77", at positions 1 to 99 of the family's 131-position model. Lineage: Eukaryota; Viridiplantae; Streptophyta; Magnoliopsida; Poales; Poaceae. The record is from RNAcentral.